CACAACAUUUUCUUAGGAUACAUGCUCUCGCACUUCCUCCAGAGCCUCCUUUCCCGAACACAGUAUGCCAAGAGCUAUUCAAUCACGCCAACAUGCUCAGCUGCAAUCCAUGCCUCACACCCAUAUAUACCAAGUCCAUGCUCUCUGCUCGUACCAGCACUACAACACAUGUGGCCUUCUGUGUGACGCUUGUGUGAUGAAAAUACGAUGCGUCGCCUAUCCCCUGUAAUAAAAGGUAUUCUAUGAUGAAAAUAAAUUUUUUCAGGCAUCUCUUUAAAACCUUGUCCAAAUUUUCAAGGCAUUCUUCGAAGUCUUUCCCAUAAACUGAGAAGUCGUUCAUGAAAACCUCCAUAAUAUUCUCUAUUAGAUCAGGUGCAUUCCAUAUAUAGACCAAAAGACAUUCGCCGAUAAGCGAAUGUUCCGUAGGGACAGGUGAAGGUAGUUUUGCUCUGGUCAUCCGAAUGAAUAGGAAUUCGAUGCUAACUAGAGUAUCCAUCGAGGUAGAAGAAGAACGAGUGCUUUGCUAGUCUCUCAAGCAUCUCGUCAAUGAAGGAGAGAGUGAAGUGAUCUUUUCGGGUAGCUUUAUUAAGCAUCCGGUAAUCGAUGCACAUCUGCCAACCUGUGGCUGUCCUUUGAGGAAUUAGCUCAUUCUUCUCAUUCUGGACAACUGUCAUACCUCCCUUCUUCGGAACAACUUGAAUUGGGCUGACCCACUCACUGUCUUGCAUAGGGUAGAUGAUGCCAUAGGGUAGAUGAUGCACACGUGCAGUAGCUUUAAAACCUCUUUCUUGACUACCUCUACCAUCGCAUUAUUAAGCCAUUGAUGAUGUUCUCUUGAUCUACCCGUAGAGUAGGAAUUGGUGUUGUUUAGAUCUUACUUGGAUACUUUUAGUGUAAUUUGUAUUUUGACCCUUGUAUUUAUCUCUAUUUACGCUUAGGACCUACCAAAGAGGAGUUGACCGAUGCGUAGGACUACCAGGGAGCUUUUGAGGACUACGAAGACUAGCUAGGUUCAUGCCCAUCUAUGGUUUGAACACCCAUUAGAGAUGUCAUGCUAGAAUGCUAUCGCUUUACUUUAUGUUAUGAUAAGAUAAACAUGCAUAGCCUACUUGUAAUCCUGUUCCUGGUAAUCCCAUGUUAUACUUGAUGAAUAUAUGAAAUGCUAUGCUUCGCUUGCAUCUGUAUGUGUGUCGAAUGGAGGGAUAGGAUUCUUGCCGUGUGUGGAGAUACUUUUGAGGGGGCGAGUAUAACUUAACUCGAUCCCAGGAUCGGGGUGCUUGGGGUGUGUAAUUGGGCACGCCCUAUGGAGUACCUAUUGCGGGUACAUUUUGGUGGAUACUUGGUUGAGAAGUUGGUGGCCAUACCUAUAAUGCAUGCUGUAGCAGACCAUUGCGAUGGCGCUCACUUCAGCAAGUAAGGACCAAGUGGAAGUAACCUAUGAUUUGUGGGACCAUGUUAAACGUGCGCACCAUUUACCAAUUAUGCGGGUGGGUCUGGCCCGAGGCUAGCAAGUGCGGUACCAAGCCUGUAAGAGGAUAGAGUAUCAGUUAAGGGGGAGGAAGUGCUGACCUUACGUUCCAGAGACGCAAAACCUUGCGAGGUUCAGGUAGGAACAAAGAAUUCAAAGUUCCGGGGUGCCCUCUUCUGGGAGGAUGCGCCCAAGAUCCGAGAUAGCAGGAUGGUGCUAUAACUACCAGUGUCUUUGACCGGUGUCGCAUCGUUCAGUCGGCUGAUCCUUGGUUGUCUUUGUUUCAAGUGGAUCCAGGCAUACAACCUUUGCAGAGUGAGAACUAUACAUGUAGUCGCGUCCGUGGUCAUGGACAAUCCUAUGUUUUGUUUCUCUUACUAGAAUAGUGUCACUUGAUCUCUACCUCCCUCUAGUGGUUAUUUCCUAUCCUGGGGACAACUGAAGUGUGAGGAAUGAGUGUUCUCAUAAUGACUCGGAUGGAUGGAAGGUGUGUGUUGACCGGGGACCUGGGAUGCUAGGAUGGCCCAUGUCGAGGUGUUGAGGAUGAUGACUUAUUUUAUACUUUUUGCUUGUGAAUAGGAAACCCCAACCUUUUUCUUGCCUUUGUUAUAUACUAGUUUAGAGCACUUAAAGCUUGUAUACGGAUGGUGAUAUUGACAUAUCCCACUCCUUGGGGAUAUAUUGGAUAGAUGCAGGAUCCGACUUUAAGUUCGACUACAAUGGUGGUACGAUUGAGGCUCGUGCUAGGCUCAAGUUAAGUCUUGCUUGUGCAGGAGCUUCGUCAGGAUGUAGAUGGUGUCCGGAGCUUAGCUAUCGCUUCUGCUAUUUUCUUUUGUUUUCAUUUAGUCCAAGGGGCUUGUACUGGAUUCCAUAUUACAAUCCUUUAGAUUAUGUAAUAAUUAAACCCAUGUGAUGUCCUACGCUAUGUAUGGAUGUGAUAUUUG
This 2412-nucleotide long non-coding RNA is filed under the name Panicum hallii. RNAcentral's name for it is "long non-coding RNA (PHAL_LNC000699)". Lineage: Eukaryota; Viridiplantae; Streptophyta; Magnoliopsida; Poales; Poaceae. The record is from RNAcentral.